Molecule: long non-coding RNA, 665 nt
Organism: Erinaceus europaeus (western European hedgehog)
Lineage: Eukaryota; Metazoa; Chordata; Mammalia; Eulipotyphla; Erinaceidae
Exons: 2
Source: RefSeq, a predicted model, not a curated record
GAUCAGCACGUGUGUUAAUCUGGAAGCAGAUCUUCCCCUAACUCCUCAUCAGCAAAAUCAUCUUCUUCAACCCUUUUCUUGGCUGUUGUUUUCGGUCUUUCUGUCUGAGGGCCGAGAGGAUCCACAUAGGAGGCAUCUAGUUCUCUGUUACUGCUACUUUCAUAAGGUUCAUUUGUCCCGGGUAAAGCUCUGAGCUUGGCACUGAGGCGUUCACCUUUACUACUCGCAUUACAGUUCUGGCCACUAUCUGAAAACAAAAAAUAAGAAUGCGUUUUGUUGAACAGGUCGAGAAAGCACAUGGCUUAUAUUACUCAUCUUAUAGCAUUUUUAUUGCCAGGAAAAUGGUGGGCUCUUGUAUUUGAAAGCCAAUUUCUGAAGAAGCACUGCGUGUUUUGUGAAUUUUAAAUUGCUGUUGGGAAGGAUCGUAUCGAGAAAGCAUCGUUGUAUUUCUAAGCUGUGUUGAUAAGCUGUGUUUCUAUGCCUCCUUUUCACAUGUGAGCUGAGUCAUGCAUUUCAGUGGUGCAGCUCUGUUUGGAAGAAGUUAAGAGACCACUGUGAUGAGUCUAGCCUGGCAGAGACCUCGCUAAGAACAAAGAACAACUGAGGAACUGUAACACUGUAAGCUUUUGAUCUCGGAAAUCAUUAUUAAACCACUAAUAAAAAUA